CGAACACUUGUAUGAUUUUACACAUGAUAGCCAAGUUGAAAAUUUUCGUCACAUUUUUCUCAGGAACUACAAUACAAGGAUUUCUGAAAUUUGGUUUCAGGAUUUAUAUAAGUCAGCUAUACCGUGUGAUGCGUUUUCAGAUUCAUCACUUGACAACUUCCUGUUUACCGAACACUUGUAUGAUUUUACACAUGAUAGCCAAGUUGAAAAUUUUCGUCACAUUUUUCUCAGGAACUACAAUACAAUGAUUUCUGAAAUUUGGUUUCAGGAUUUAUAUAAGUCAGCUAUACCGUGUGAUGCGUUUUCAGAUUCAUCACUCGACAACUUCCUGUUUACCGAACACUUGUAUGAUUUUACACAUGAUAACCAAGUUAAAAAUUUUCGUCACAUUUUUCUCAGGAACUACAAUACAAGGAUUUCUGAAAUUUGGUUUCAGGAUUUAUAUAAGUCAGCUAUACCGUGUGAUGCGUUUUCAGAUUCAUCACUCGACAACUUCCUGUUUACCGAACACUUGCAUAUUUUUACACUAUUAAUAUUAUCCACUUGCGGCGGGGGUAUCAUCAGUGAGCAGUAGCUCGCAGUUUCACUUGUUAUUUUUUUU
This 601-nucleotide long non-coding RNA is filed under the name Mytilus galloprovincialis (Mediterranean mussel). The record is from RNAcentral. Lineage: Eukaryota; Metazoa; Mollusca; Bivalvia; Mytilida; Mytilidae.